GCCAGUGACCAUAUCAUCCUGCAACUCACAACUGGCAACCCACUGAAGCUCAGCAGGUGUGAGCCUGGCCAGUACCUGGAUGGGAGACCUCCUGGGAAAAACUAAGGUUGCUGCUGGAA
RNAcentral lists this ribosomal RNA (119 nucleotides) under Lepisosteus oculatus (spotted gar). Lineage: Eukaryota; Metazoa; Chordata; Actinopteri; Semionotiformes; Lepisosteidae. The record is from RNAcentral.